Molecule: transfer RNA, 72 nt
Filed under: Bos taurus (domestic cattle)
Lineage: Eukaryota; Metazoa; Chordata; Mammalia; Artiodactyla; Bovidae
Also listed under: 5 other names
Rfam family: tRNA
About the family: Transfer RNA (tRNA) molecules are approximately 80 nucleotides in length. Their secondary structure includes four short double-helical elements and three loops (D, anti-codon, and T loops).
Source: Rfam by way of RNAcentral
UUCCUGGUGGUCUAGUGAUUAGGACUCAGCACUUUCAUUGGCAUGGCCCAGGUUCAAUCCCUGGUCAGGGAA